RNA transcript from Zeugodacus cucurbitae (melon fly), 1519 nucleotides. RefSeq lists it as uncharacterized. The record is from RefSeq and is a predicted model, not a curated record. Lineage: Eukaryota; Metazoa; Arthropoda; Insecta; Diptera; Tephritidae. The transcript has 3 exons.
UCGCUGAAAACUUCUUGAAAAUUUACAUUCCACUCAUUAUAAUCGAUGUCUCCUCUAGUUUAGUCGAUAUAAUUGGAAGACAUAGGGCUUAUUCGAGGCACUCCAUAACUGCGACAAUAUUGCAGCCCUGAUAAUCAAUUUGCAACACUGUUGCAGAUGCUCAGCUAAUACUUAAGCAAAAUAAUUACAACAUUUUGAGCGAAUUUUUUGACCGAAUUUGAACGUUUAACCAUGAAUUUUUUAAUAAAUAUAGCGAUAGAUAAUUUUGAAAGCAGUGAUAAUAAUUUGCUGUUUAAGUAUGGAAAAAAUAGAAAACGAAAUUUUUUAAGAAAUAGAAAGUGGUUCCUCGCUGAAAUUUCAAAAAAGCGGGCAGUGACGAAGAUGACAAAGGUUUGGAAAACAAUUCCAUUAUACCAUGAUGAUACAUAUUUCACGCAUUUUCGCAUGACUCGUGAAACGUUUGCAGACUUGAAAAAUGCGUUAGAGCCUUUUUGGUCAACACCGCACGGUGAAUAUUCCUUGGAACAUUCCUUGCAUAUGACUCUUUGGAAGCUAAGCAACAGUAGCAGUAAACUUUUCCUCAAAACAAUCAAGACAAUCUGCAAACUUAAACACGAAAUAUGUUGGCCGUCAGUUUCACAGCAGAAAAAAAUAAUGGAAAACUUUCAAACAAGCCGGGUAAAUUCAUUUCCUUUUGUUGUCGGAUGCUUAGAUGGAACGCAUUUCAAAAUUAAUACUCCUCAGACAGACGCAAUUAGUUAUUAUGACCGUAAAGGAAAUUUUCCAGUUAUUAUGCAGAUGUGUUCAUCGGCUACCCAGGUAGCUGCCAUGAUGCAAAUGUGUGGAAAAAUAGUCCACUUUACAAAGGGAUCACAUCUGGACAAAUAAAUCUUGCGAAAGAUGCAAUUAUUCUAGCCGAUUCAGCAUAUCCUGUUUCAAGAUAUUUAAUUGCUCCUUUUAGAGAUAACGGACACCUUUCCAGAGAGGAAAAACAAUUCUACUAUUAUAUGAGUUCAACCCGAGUAUUUAUCGAGCAAACAUUUGGAAUUUUCAGGGCUAAGUUCAAAAUAUUGAAUCAUAUUGAUGUGCGAAAUAUAGAAGACAUAUCAACUGUGACAUUAGCUUGCGCAAUUUUACAUAAUUUUAUACUGCGAAGCAAUCCGGCUCAUUCUGAAGACAAUCACACGAGUAGGGAUGGCAAAAAUUUUUUUUAAUCGAUUAAAUAAUCAAAUGAUUAAUUGCAAGAUAUAAAAAAAUAAUUGCAAUUAAUUGCAAUUAAUGUAAAAAAAUCGAUUAAUCGAUUAAUUCCAAUGUUUGCAUAAAGACCACAACCAAGUUUCAGCGACGAAUCUUGUAUUAUAAUGCUCUAUCACAGAGUCCCAGACAUAUCCUAAAAGAGAAAAUGGCCUAUAUUUGAAGUUAAGUAGCACAUUAAAUUUUUCAAAAUUCGUACAGCAAUCUUAAAGUAAAAGAAUUGCCUUUUGCUUGAAAGACUAUGUUUUGUAUUUUUGCGUAAAAA